CAGCCGCCGCGGUAAUACCGGCGGCCCGAGUGGCGGUCACUAUUAUUGGGCUUAAAGCGUCCGUAGCCGGGUUGGGAAGGCCUCCGGGAAAUCUGGCCGCUUAACGGUCAGAAUGCCGGAGGAUACUCCCAGCCUAGGGAGCGGGAGAGGCCGAGGGGAUUCCCGGGGUAGGGGUGAAAUCCUAUAAUCCCGGGAGGACCACCUGUGGCGAAGGCGCUCGGCUGGAACGCGUCCGACGGUGAGGGACGAAGGCCAGGGGAGCAAACCGGAUUAGAUACCCGGGUAGUCCUGGCGGUAAACGAUGCGGACUAGGUGUCGGGCAAGCUAAGGGCUUGUCCGGUGCCGCAGGGAAGCCGUUAAGUCCGCCGCCUGGGGAGUACGGCCGCAAGGCUGAAACUUAAAGGAAUUGGCGGG
RNAcentral lists this ribosomal RNA (414 nucleotides) under uncultured microorganism. Its description in RNAcentral is "bacterial SSU rRNA". It matches the Rfam family "Archaeal small subunit ribosomal RNA", at positions 459 to 872 of the family's 1478-position model. The record is from RNAcentral.